This 515-nucleotide ribosomal RNA is filed under the name uncultured bacterium. RNAcentral's name for it is "partial 16S ribosomal RNA". It matches the Rfam family "Bacterial small subunit ribosomal RNA", at positions 28 to 523 of the family's 1533-position model. The record is from RNAcentral.
GACGAACGCUGGCGGCGUGCCUAAUACAUGCAAGUCGAGCGGACUUUCAAGAAGCUUGCUUUUUGAAAGUUAGCGGCGGACGGGUGAGUAACACGUGGGCAACCUGCCUGUAAGACGGGGAUAACUCCGGGAAACCGGGGCUAAUACCGGAUAAUAUCUUUCUUCGCAUGAAGGAAGGUUGAAAGGCGGCGCAAGCUGCCGCUUGCAGAUGGGCCCGCGGCGCAUUAGCUAGUUGGUGAGGUAACGGCUCACCAAGGCGACGAUGCGUAGCCGACCUGGGAGGGUGAUCGGCCAGACUGGGACUGAGACACGGCCCAGACUCCUACGGGAGGCAGCAGUAGGGAAUCUUCCGCAAUGGACGAAAGUCUGACGGAGCAACGCCGCGUGAGCGAAGAAGGUCUUCGGAUCGUAAAGCUCUGUUGUCAGGGAAGAACAAGUACCGUUCGAACAGGGCGGUACCUUGACGGUACCUGACCAGAAAGCCACGGCUAACUACGUGCCAGCCGCCGCGGUAA